CGUGCCUAAUACAUGCAAGUCGAACGCACUCUCGUUUAGAUUGAAGGAGCUUGCUCCUGAUUGAUAAACAUUUGAGUGAGUGGCGGACGGGUGAGUAACACGUGGGUAACCUGCCCUAAAGUGGGGGAUAACAUUUGGAAACAGAUGCUAAUACCGCAUAAAACCUAACACCGCAUGGUGUAGGGUUGAAAGAUGGUUUCGGCUAUCACUUUAGGAUGGACCCGCGGUGCAUUAGUUAGUUGGUGAGGUAAAGGCUCACCAAGACCGUGAUGCAUAGCCGACCUGAGAGGGUAAUCGGCCACACUGGGACUGAGACACGGCCCAGACUCCUACGGGAGGCAGCAGUAGGGAAUCUUCCACAAUGGACGAAAGUCUGAUGGAGCAACGCCGCGUGAGUGAAGAAGGUUUUCGGAUCGUAAAACUCUGUUGUUGGAGAAGAAUGUAUCUGAUAGUAACUGAUCAGGUAGUGACGAUAUCCAACCAGAAAGCCACGGCUAACUACGUG
RNAcentral lists this ribosomal RNA (505 nucleotides) under uncultured bacterium. RNAcentral's name for it is "bacterial SSU rRNA". It matches the Rfam family "Bacterial small subunit ribosomal RNA", at positions 43 to 507 of the family's 1533-position model. The record is from RNAcentral.